Molecule: ribosomal RNA, 468 nt
Filed under: uncultured bacterium
Lineage: Bacteria
Description: partial 16S ribosomal RNA
Rfam family: Bacterial small subunit ribosomal RNA
Source: RNAcentral
GACGAACGCUGGCGGCGUGCUUAACACAUGCAAGUCGAACGGAAAGGCCCUGCUUUUGUGGGGUGCUCGAGUGGCGAACGGGUGAGUAACACGUGAGUAACCUGCUCUUGACUUUGGGAUAACUUCAGGAAACUGGGGCUAAUACCGGAUAGGAGCUCCUGCUGCAUUGUGGGGGUUGGAAAGUUUCGGCGGUUGGGGAUGGACUCGCGGCUUAUCAGCUUGUUGGUGGGGUAGUGGCUUACCCAGGCUUUGACGGGUAGCCGGCCUGAGAGGGUGACCGGCCACAUUGGGACUGAGAUACGGCCCAGAGUCCUACGGGAGGCAGCAGGGGGGAAUAUUGCACAAUGGGCGGAAGCCUGAUGCAGCAGCGCCGCGUGCGGGAUGACGGCCUUCGGGGUGUAAACCGCUUUCGCCUGUGACGAAGCGUGAGUGACGGUAAUGGGUAAAGAAGCACCGGCUAACUACGUG